AGCUUAAAGGACCCCCAGAACUUUAAUGUGGAUGUACUUGCUUUGUUUCUGAAAAAGUAAGUGCUUCCAUGUUUUGGUGCUGGUGAAUCCUGCUCU
Molecule: microRNA precursor, 96 nt
Filed under: Alligator mississippiensis (American alligator)
Lineage: Eukaryota; Metazoa; Chordata; Crocodylia; Alligatoridae
Description: microRNA ami-mir-302a precursor
Gene: ami-mir-302a
Rfam family: mir-302 microRNA precursor family (bases 15-83)
Source: miRBase by way of RNAcentral